UUAGGAAUCUGCCUAUUAGUGGGGGACAACAUUUCGGAAGGAAUGCUAAUACCGCAUACGUCCUACGGGAGAAAGCAGGGGAUCUUCGGACCUUGCGCUAAUAGAUGAGCCUAAGUCGGAUUAGCUAGUUGGUGGGGUAAAGGCCUACCAAGGCGACGAUCUGUAGCGGGUCUGAGAGGAUGAUCCGCCACACUGGGACUGAGACACGGCCCAGACUCCUACGGGAGGCAGCAGUGGGGAAUAUUGGACAAUGGGCGCAAGCCUGAUCCAGCCAUGCCGCGUGUGUGAAGAAGGCCUUAUGGUUGUAAAGCACUUUAAGCGAGGAGGAGGCUACUUUAGUUAAUACCUAGAGAUAGUGGACGUUACUCGCAGAAUAAGCACCGGCUAACUCUGUGCCAGCAGCCGCGGUAAUACAGAGGGUGCAAGCGUUAAUCGGAUUUACUGGGCGUAAAGCGCGCGUAGGCGGCUAAUUAAGUCAAAAUGUGAAAUCCCCGAGCUUAACUUGGGAAUUGCAUUCGAUACUGGUUUAGCUAGAGUGUGGGA
RNAcentral lists this ribosomal RNA (543 nucleotides) under uncultured Acinetobacter sp. Its description in RNAcentral is "bacterial SSU rRNA". It matches the Rfam family "Bacterial small subunit ribosomal RNA", at positions 117 to 653 of the family's 1533-position model. The record is from RNAcentral. Lineage: Bacteria; Pseudomonadati; Pseudomonadota; Gammaproteobacteria; Moraxellales; Moraxellaceae.